UGAGAAUCAUUUGAUCCACAAAAGCAUGCA
This 30-nucleotide non-coding RNA is filed under the name Mus musculus (house mouse). The record is from RNAcentral. Lineage: Eukaryota; Metazoa; Chordata; Mammalia; Rodentia; Muridae.